GAUGAAAACGCAGCGAAAUGCGAUAAGUAAUGUGAAUUGCAGAAUUCAGUGAAUCAUCGAAUCUUUGAACGCACAUUGCGCCCCCUGGUAUUCCGGGGGGCAUGCCUGUUCGAGCGUCAUUUCACCACUCAAGCCUCGCUUGGUAUUGGGCAACGCGGUCCGCCGCGUGCCUCAAAUCGACCGGCUGGGUCUUCUGUCCCCUAAGCGUUGUGGAAACUAUUCGCUAAAGGGUGCUCGGGAGGCUACGCCGUAAAACAAACCCAUUUCUAAGGUUGACCUCGGAUCAGGUAGGGAUACCCGCUGAACUUAAGCAUAUCAAUAAGCGGAGGA
This 330-nucleotide unclassified non-coding RNA is filed under the name soil metagenome. RNAcentral describes it as "partial contains 5.8S ribosomal RNA, internal transcribed spacer 2, and large subunit ribosomal RNA". The stretch from base 1 to 119 matches the Rfam family "5.8S ribosomal RNA", at positions 35 to 154 of the family's 154-position model. The record is from RNAcentral.